This is a long non-coding RNA of Symphalangus syndactylus (siamang), 666 nucleotides long. RefSeq lists it as uncharacterized. The record is from RefSeq and is a predicted model, not a curated record. Lineage: Eukaryota; Metazoa; Chordata; Mammalia; Primates; Hylobatidae.
UGCUGGAUCAAAUGGUAGAUCUAUUUUUAGUUAUUUGAGAAAUCGUCAUACUGUUUUCCACAGAGGUUGUACUAAUUUACAUUCCUAUUUUUCGAUGAACUCAGAUGAAGAAAGUUUCUUAACAAGAAUUGAUUUGGGGACAUGUUUGUAUUUAUUCAGCUGCUCCCAUUACCAGAUCAAUGAACCGUUCUAGAGACUUCAAAUCCAUUGAGAUGGGAUUAAUGCAUUUGCCUACUCAGGCAGAGGACAGAAUGACCACUGCAAGUGUUCAUCAGCAUUUUCCUGCUCUUAGAUGGAAAGGCCAAGGCCACCCCAAGCAUGCUGAAAUUAAUGGGCCAUUGUCAGGAAGGAGUUCACAACUGCAUAUGGAGCCAGGCUCUGAUAUGGUUUGGCUCAGUGUCAUCACCCAGAUCUCAUCUUGAAUUGUAAUCCCCACAUGUCGAGAGAGAGAGGUGAUUGGAUCAAGGAGGUGGUUUCCCCUCUGCUGUUCUUGUGAUGAACAAAUGGAGAGACCUCCUUUAGUCGAUUGAUGGUAGCAACAAGGAAGACGGCAAAUGGAGAAAUGACAUUUCAUGACCCAGGUGGAUCAGCAUCUGCAGUUUAACAAGCUCCCGAGGGGUGAGUGCACACGAAGGAUUGAGAAGUAUUGCUCCAAAUAACCAGACC